CUCAGAUGUUCGGGUGUUUAUUAUCUCUGGAUGAGCCAAUGACAAUGCAGUAUUUCCCAUGGAAAAUGUACCUCCCAGUGCAGCAAGCAGAGGAACAAGGGACACGUUUAAGUUCUGUCACAGACAAGGUGAACAAAUCUCCCAUCUUCCAUCUCUUAACAGUUAUUACGUCCUCAGACUGGCCAGUUAGACAGACACAGUGGCACCAAGCAGCCUGCAGCCAUGCACCGGUGACACGGUGUGCGCAAGGAAUUCUUCUUUAUUGGAUACCUGACAAAGCAUCUAUUGGAAGCUGCCCAAUGCCCGAUGCCCCUCCUGAUAGUCUCUAGAACAUGGAAUUUCAUGCUGGAUUAGUGGAGAGUUUCUCUGUCCUUCAGCCUUAACAUGUACUGAGAUGGACACAGUUUGUGAUAUUCACCCCCAGCAGAGGAUAAUCUCCCAUUCCCAAAAUAUUCCAUGGAGUUUAUUUACUAAAGUGUUAGACACCUCUUUGUA
Molecule: long non-coding RNA, 495 nt
Organism: Bombina bombina (fire-bellied toad)
Lineage: Eukaryota; Metazoa; Chordata; Amphibia; Anura; Bombinatoridae
Exons: 2
Source: RefSeq, a predicted model, not a curated record